UACGGGAGGCAGCAGUGAGGAAUAUUGGUCAAUGGGCGUAAGCCUGAACCAGCCAAGUAGCGUGCAGGAUGACGGCCCUAUGGGUUGUAAACUGCUUUUAUGCGGGGAUAAAGUCACCCACGUGUGGGUGUUUGUAGGUACCGCAUGAAUAAGGACCGGCUAAUUCCGUGCCAGCAGCCGCGGUAAU
RNAcentral lists this ribosomal RNA (187 nucleotides) under uncultured rumen bacterium. Its description in RNAcentral is "partial 16S ribosomal RNA". It matches the Rfam family "Bacterial small subunit ribosomal RNA", at positions 340 to 524 of the family's 1533-position model. The record is from RNAcentral.